GUUUGCAGAGCACUGAACUUCUUCUUUUCCUUUUUCUUCUCCUUCUCCUCCUCUUCCUCUUUCUUCUCCUCCUCCUCCUCUUUCUCCUCCUCCUUUCUCCUCCUCUUCCUCCUCUUUCUCCUCCUCCUCCUCUUCUCCUUCUCCUGCUCCUCUUUCUUCUUCUUCUCCUCCUCCUCCUCCUCCUCCUCUUUCUUCUUCUUCCCCAUCUUCUCUUUCUUCCCCAUCUUCUUCUUCUUCUUCCCCUUCUCCUCCUCCUCUUCCUUCUCUUCCUCUUCCCCUUUCUCUCCCCUCUUUCCCUCCUCCCUCCUCCCCCUCAUCCUCCUCCUCCUCCUUCUCCUCCUCCUCUUUCUUCUUCUUCUUCUCCUCCUCCUGCUCCUCCUCUUUCUUCUUCUUCUUCUUCCCCAUAUUCUUCUUCUUCCCCUUCUCCUCCUCCUUCUCUUCCUCCUCAUCUUUCUCCUUCUCCUCCUCCUCCCCCUCAUCCUCCUCUUCCUCCUUCUCCUCUUUCUUCUUCUUCAUCUUCUUCUUCUUUGCCCCAACUCCUUCUUGACCACCAGGGGGCGCUCCAAGAGAACCGCAUUUGGGACAAGAAAAAAUGGACUCUGUUGCCACUUGAUCAGGAACUGUGGAAUAGUCUUCCAAACCACCUGGAUGGAAUAGAAAUAUCUACAAGCGUCAUCCAAGGCACUGCCCGUAAGAAUUAGCAAUGCAGACAUGGACAUGAACCUGGAAAUUUCCACCACAACAACAAAAGUUUUUUUUAAAAAGAUAGUAAAAGAAAUUAGGGAGGUUCUCUGCAAGCUGUCCUGAUUUCAUGGGGUUUAAGUGCAUUUCUUCUAUAUAUUAAUCAAUCAAUGAAUCGUAUUUAAUGAGCUCUUACUGAGUGCAGAGCACUGUACUAUAUAUAUAUUACAGAGCUGAUAAACAUGUUCGCUGCACACAAUGAGCUCACAGCCUAGCGGGUAUUCAAUUGUGUCCUUCAUUAUAAAUCAUCUUAGCACGCAAGUUCCACAACAAAACUGUGCAAUUCUAAAGAGGCCUGCUCCUUAUUUUAGAACUUAGCUUAAGGAAGUCUAUACAUGUACAUACAACAUUAAAAUUGAGGCACUAGAGUGCACUGAGCCCUAAUAGACAGGAGCUUGGCCAACCAGUACCAAAAGGAAUUUCCCAUCCCAUGAAAAUCUAGGUAAACCCCCAAAGUAAAAUCAAAACCAAGAGCCUGAGAA
This 1223-nucleotide long non-coding RNA is filed under the name Ornithorhynchus anatinus (platypus). Its description in RNAcentral is "lncRNA (ENSOANG00000048696.1)". The record is from RNAcentral. Lineage: Eukaryota; Metazoa; Chordata; Mammalia; Monotremata; Ornithorhynchidae.